This 776-nucleotide ribosomal RNA is filed under the name uncultured Providencia sp. Its description in RNAcentral is "bacterial SSU rRNA". It matches the Rfam family "Bacterial small subunit ribosomal RNA", at positions 721 to 1502 of the family's 1533-position model. The record is from RNAcentral. Lineage: Bacteria; Pseudomonadati; Pseudomonadota; Gammaproteobacteria; Enterobacterales; Morganellaceae.
GCGGCCCCUGGACAAGACUGACGCUCAGGUGCGAAAGCGUGGGGAGCAAACAGGAUAGAUACCUGGUAGUCACGCUGUAAACGAUGUCGAUUUGGAGGUUGUUCCCUUGAGGAGUGGCUUCCGGAGCUAACGCGUUAAAUCGACCGCUGGGGAGUACGGCCGCAAGGUUAAAACUCAAAUGAAUUGACGGGGGCCCGCACAAGCGGUGGAGCAUGUGGUUUAAUUCGAUGCAACGCGAAGAACCUUACCUACUCUUGACAUCCAGAGAAUUUAGCAGAGAUGCUUUAGUGCCUUCGGGAACUCUGAGACAGGUGCUGCAUGGCUGUCGUCAGCUCGUGUUGUGAAAUGUUGGGUUAAGUCCCGCAACGAGCGCAACCCUUAUCCUUUGUUGCCAGCACAUUAUGGUGGGAACUCAAAGGAGACUGCCGGUGAUAAACCGGAGGAAGGUGGGGAUGACGUCAAGUCAUCAUGGCCCUUACGAGUAGGGCUACACACGUGCUACAAUGGCGUAUACAAAGAGAAGCGACCUCGCGAGAGCAAGCGGAACUCAUAGAGUACGUCGUAGUCCGGAUUGGAGUCUGCAACUCGACUCCAUGAAGUCGGAAUCGCCAGUAAUCGUAGAUCAGAAUGCUACGGUGAAUACGUUCCCGGGCCUUGUACACACCGCCCGUCACACCAUGGGAGUGGGUUGCAAAAGAAGUAGGUAGCUUAACCUUCGGGAGGGCGCUUACCACUUUGUGAUUCAUGACUGGGGUGAAGUCGUAACAAGGUAACCA